RNAcentral lists this long non-coding RNA (388 nucleotides) under Rattus norvegicus (Norway rat). RNAcentral describes it as "long non-coding RNA NONRATT011404". Lineage: Eukaryota; Metazoa; Chordata; Mammalia; Rodentia; Muridae. The record is from RNAcentral.
GCACCCCAGCCUGGGAGGUCCGAUGCAGAGGGUGACCCCUCCGAGGGGAAUGGCCAGUGUUGGGCCCCAGGGCUUUGGAACUGGCAUGCGUCCCCCACCCAAUUCCCUUGCCACCAGCCAGAUCCUGCCAUCCAUGAACAUGGGUCCGGGAGUGCGUGGCCCGUGGGCCAGUCCCAGCGGUAACUCGAUCCCGUACUCUUCCUCAUCUCCUGGCAGCUACUCGGGACCGACAGGAGGAGGUGGCGCCCCCGGAACACCCAUCAUGCCCAGCCCUGGAGACUCCACCAACUCCAGCGAGAACAUGUACACCAUCAUGAAUCCCAUCGGGCCGGGCGCUGGCAGGGCUAACGUGAGUGGGGGCCGGUGCGCCUCACCCGAUGGGGACCUC